UUUCAUAUGGUGGUUUAGAUUU
This 22-nucleotide microRNA is filed under the name Rattus norvegicus (Norway rat). RNAcentral's name for it is "rno-miR-29b-1-5p". Its record names the gene rno-miR-29b-1-5p. The record is from miRBase by way of RNAcentral. Lineage: Eukaryota; Metazoa; Chordata; Mammalia; Rodentia; Muridae.